Molecule: ribosomal RNA, 773 nt
Filed under: uncultured archaeon
Lineage: Archaea
Description: bacterial SSU rRNA
Rfam family: Archaeal small subunit ribosomal RNA
Source: RNAcentral
GGGGUGCAGCAGGCGCGAAAACUCCGCAAUGCGCGCAAGCGUGACGGGGGAAUCCCAAGUGCCGUUGGUCUUAUGAUCGACGGUUUUUAGGAAGUCUAAGAAGCUUCCAGAAUAAGGGCUGGGCAAGACUGGUGCCAGCCGCCGCGGUAACACCAGCAGCCCAAGUGGUGACCACGAUUAUUGGGCCUAAAGCGCUCGUAGCCGGAUCAGCAAGUCCCUUGUGAAAUCGGGCCGCCUAACGGUUCGGCGUGCAAGGGAUACUGUUGGUCUUGAGGCCGGGAGAGGUCGGAGGUACUCCUGGGGUAGCGGUGAAAUGCUCUAAUCCUAGGGGGACCACCAGUGGCGAAGGCGUCCGACCAGAACGGACCUGACGGUGAGGGGCGAAGGCUAGGGGAGCGAACGGGAUUAGAUACCCCGGUAGUCCUAGCUGUAAAGCAUGCGGGCCAGGUGUCUAGCGCUCCUUGAGGGCGCUAGGUGCCGGAGGGAAGCCGUUAAGCCCGCCGCCUGGGAAGUACGGCCGCAAGGCUGAAACUUAAAGAAAUUGGCGGGGGAGCACCACAAGAGGUGGGACCUGCGGUUCAAUUGGAUUCAACGCCGGAAAACUCACCAGGGGCGACAGCUGGUUGACGGCCAGAUUGACGAUCUUGCCCGACUAGCUGAGAGGUGGUGCAUGGCCAUCGUCAGCUCGUACCGUGAGGCGUCCUGUUAAGUCAGGCAACGAGCGAGAUCCUCGCCCUUAGUUGCCAUCGGUGGAAAGCCGGGCACUCUAGGGG